Molecule: long non-coding RNA, 670 nt
Organism: Hyla sarda
Lineage: Eukaryota; Metazoa; Chordata; Amphibia; Anura; Hylidae
Exons: 3
Source: RefSeq, a predicted model, not a curated record
CACAUGGUAAUGACACCAUCUAAGGUCCUCUACCAUCCCAUACACAGCCCUGUUCGGCAGUAAAUCGCUCCACUGUGCUGCUGUUGCUGCUGCCUGAAACCUCUGCUCGUACAGGGAGGAGAGGACAGAUGCAGUUUCUUUAUCAUCCACCAACUUCUCAAUCAUCCAUCUGGAUAUGAAUUUCACCAUUCUUCAUUUUUAUCUUAUAAUUAUGUUCCGGUCAUGAUGCCAUAAGAAGCAGAAAACAACCACAGUCCUCCCUUGGACUAGCAAUUUAGUUUUUUUGUUUUUAUUGAUGUAGAGUUGGUGAUAUUAUUACUUUUGUGUGACCUAUAAGCCAUUACAGUGUUAGUGCCACAUAAAGUUUUCUAAAUUUGUUAUAUCCUAAUAUACCCUAUUAUGUGCUACCCUGAGAGGUGUUCAAUAAAUGACAAUUAUGGAUUAUCAGAUGCUCUGAUAGACUCCUCAUGCCUAUACCCCACGUUGAUUGGUUUUCUGUAUGAUAGGGAGCCUACUGACACUUCUCCCUUUACAUAUGAAGGGCCAGGGUUACAUUCCUUAGUCUAGGUGGUGAUCUAAUCAUCAAAACUGGACUUGGAGAUAUGUUGAUUGAUGGGAUCCUGUGCUGGAUUCUGACUGUCACUCCCUAGUGCACUUUAAAACAAGGAGA